This 408-nucleotide ribosomal RNA is filed under the name uncultured bacterium. Its description in RNAcentral is "bacterial SSU rRNA". It matches the Rfam family "Bacterial small subunit ribosomal RNA", at positions 355 to 775 of the family's 1533-position model. The record is from RNAcentral.
UGGGGAAUCUUGCGCAAUGGGCGAAAGCCUGACGCAGCGACGCCGCGUGGGGGAUGAAGGCCCUCGGGUUGUAAACCCCUUUCGGCAGGGACGAAGCGAACGUGACGGUACCUGCAGAAGAAGUCCCGGCUAACUACGUGCCAGCAGCCGCGGUAAGACGUAGGGGACGAGCGUUGUCCGGAUUCAUUGGGCGUAAAGAGCGCGUAGGCGGCCGUGCAAGUCGGAUGUGAAAAUCCGGGGCUCAACCCCGGACGUGCAUCCGAUACUGCUCGGCUAGAGGUAGGUAGGGGAGAUCGGAAUUCCUGGUGUAGCGGUGAAAUGCGCAGAUAUCAGGAGGAACACCGGUGGCGAAGGCGGAUCUCUGGGCCUUACCUGACGCUCAGGCGCGAAAGCUAGGGGAGCGAACAG